CACUAACCCCGCGUUAGGGAUUGUAAUGGCAUCCUUUUUUACUUUUUAAAAAAAGAUAUAAUGUAAAGCCAGACCCCUA
This 79-nucleotide small RNA is filed under the name Flaviramulus basaltis. RNAcentral's name for it is "Flavo-1 RNA". It matches the Rfam family "Flavo-1 RNA". The record is from Rfam by way of RNAcentral. Lineage: Bacteria; Pseudomonadati; Bacteroidota; Flavobacteriia; Flavobacteriales; Flavobacteriaceae.